GGAGAGGUGCCGGAGUGGUUGAACGGGCUCGCCUGGAAAGCGUGUAGGGGUCGAAAGGCCUCUCGCGGGUUCGAAUCCCGCCCUCUCCGCCA
This 92-nucleotide transfer RNA is filed under the name Chloroflexota bacterium. RNAcentral describes it as "tRNA-Ser(gga)". It matches the Rfam family "tRNA". From Rfam's summary of the family: Transfer RNA (tRNA) molecules are approximately 80 nucleotides in length. Their secondary structure includes four short double-helical elements and three loops (D, anti-codon, and T loops). RNAcentral also lists the same sequence under 2 other names. The record is from RNAcentral. Lineage: Bacteria; Bacillati; Chloroflexota.